UACGUAGGGUGCGAGCGUUAAUCGGAAUUACUGGGCGUAAAGGGCGCGUAGGCGGCUGUUUAAGUCAGAGGUGAAAGCCCAGGGCUCAACCUUGGAACUGCCUUUGAUACUGGGCAUCUUGAGUAUGGGAGAGGUGAGUGGAACUCCGAGUGUAGAGGUGAAAUUCGUAGAUAUUCGGAAGAACACCAGUGGCGAAGGCGGCUCACUGGCCCAUUACUGACGCUGAGGCGCGAAAGCGUGGGGAGCAAACAGG
Molecule: ribosomal RNA, 253 nt
Filed under: uncultured bacterium
Lineage: Bacteria
Description: partial 16S ribosomal RNA
Rfam family: Bacterial small subunit ribosomal RNA
Source: RNAcentral